GGUUAUGUGGCCAUUGAGGAGGCUAGAGAAGGUGGCCCAUUUAUUUCCCAAGCGAGCAUGGGCUCUAAUAAUGGUCUCGUCUUCUUCAGGUGAAAACGGCUUGGCCUUUACAAUGAGAAUUGAAGGUCGUUUUGGGUCGUUCUUGGAAGUUCAAGGAAAAUCGAAGCAAGCUGAGAGUUUUGAGGAUUGUGAGCAGUUCCAAGCUUGACCCGGUCCAAUUCAAUGGCCAUGCUAAGCCCCUGGUCGGGUUUAGGGGAGAGGGUAAAGGUGGG
RNAcentral lists this unclassified non-coding RNA (272 nucleotides) under Hevea brasiliensis (rubber tree). Lineage: Eukaryota; Viridiplantae; Streptophyta; Magnoliopsida; Malpighiales; Euphorbiaceae. The record is from RNAcentral.